CGAGUUUAGGAUUACAAGGACGGUGCAACUGCAUUGGGACCAGAUCUGUUUUUAUUCAUCCAAAGUCCAUCCGGAGCCUGGAAUUUAUUCCCAGAGGAUCUGACUGUGAGAACACAGAGAUAAUCAUCACACUGAGAAAUAAGAGAAAGGUGUGCGUGAAUCCUGAUGCUAAGUGGGUGCAGGCACUCAUAAAUGCCAACAAAGGUCCCAGAAAAGACAAAUGAAAGAUGAAGCUAUAGUCUGAAGAAUGCAACUCCGCGCCUGAAUUACCUGACAGGGACAGAGGAAGAUCUGCUCUAUUUGUUUACUAUCUGACAUUGCCGUCUGAUGGUUCAUUCUAGAGUCUUCACUUCAUUGA
Molecule: long non-coding RNA, 358 nt
Organism: Amblyraja radiata (thorny skate)
Lineage: Eukaryota; Metazoa; Chordata; Chondrichthyes; Rajiformes; Rajidae
Exons: 3
Source: RefSeq, a predicted model, not a curated record